GGAAUCUUGCGCAAUGGGCGAAAGCCUGACGCAGCGACGCCGCGUGAGUGAUGAAGGCCUUCGGGUUGUAAAGCUCUGUGGGGAGAGAAGAAUAAGUGUAGAUUAAUACUCUGCAUGAUGACGGUAUCUCCUUAGCAAGCACCGGCUACCUCUGUGCCAGCAGCCGCGGUAAUACAGAGGGUGCAAACGUUGUUCGGAUUUACUGGGCGUAAAGCGCGUGUAGGCGGCUUGGCAAGUCGGAUGUGAAAUCCCGGGGCUCAACCCCGGAAGUGCAUUCGAAACUGCCUCGCUAGAGUUCUGGAGAGGAAGGUGGAAUGCUUGGUGUAGAGGUGAAAUUCGUAGAUAUCAAGCGGAACACCGGUGGCGAAGGCGACCUUCUGGACAGUGACUGACGCUGAGACGCGAAAGCGUGGGGAGCAAAC
This 422-nucleotide ribosomal RNA is filed under the name uncultured bacterium. Its description in RNAcentral is "bacterial SSU rRNA". It matches the Rfam family "Bacterial small subunit ribosomal RNA", at positions 358 to 773 of the family's 1533-position model. The record is from RNAcentral.